Molecule: ribosomal RNA, 253 nt
Filed under: uncultured bacterium
Lineage: Bacteria
Description: partial 16S ribosomal RNA
Rfam family: Bacterial small subunit ribosomal RNA
Source: RNAcentral
UACGAAGGGGGCUAGCGUUGCUCGGAAUCACUGGGCGUAAAGGGUGCGUAGGCGGGUCUUUAAGUCAGGGGUGAAAUCCUGGAGCUCAACUCCAGAACUGCCUUUGAUACUGAGGAUCUUGAGUUCGGGAGAGGUGAGUGGAACUGCGAGUGUAGAGGUGAAAUGCGUAGAUAUCGGGAGGAACACCAGUGGCGAAGGCGACUUCCUGGCCUGUUCUUGACGCUGAGGUGCGAAAGCGUGGGGAGCAAACAGG